GCUUUGCUGGGCCCGUCCCUCGGGACCGCCGGCUUCGGCUGGCCAGCGCCUGGCAGAGAAACCAAACUCUUGUAUUAUUGUCGUCAGAGUACUAUAUUUAAUAGUUAAAACUUUCAACAACGGAUCUCUUGGUUCUGGCAUCGAUGAAGAACGCAGCGAAAUGCGAUAAGUAAUGUGAAUUGCAGAAUUCAGUGAAUCAUCGAAUCUUUGAACGCACAUUGCGCCCUCUGGUAUUCCGGGGGGCAUGCCUGUUCGAGCGUCAUUACAACCCUCAAGCUCUGCUUGGUAUUGGGUGCCACCUUACCGGUGCGCCCUAAAAUCAGUGGCGGCGCCAUCCGGCUUCAAGCGUANUAUUANUUCAUCGCUCUGGAGGACCGGUUGAGUGCUCGCCAGCAACCCCAAAUUUUAUCAAGGUUGACCUCGGAUCAGGUAGG
This 434-nucleotide ribosomal RNA is filed under the name Rhytismatales sp. NY192. RNAcentral's name for it is "eukaryotic LSU rRNA". The stretch from base 109 to 262 matches the Rfam family "5.8S ribosomal RNA". Lineage: Eukaryota; Fungi; Ascomycota; Leotiomycetes; Rhytismatales. The record is from RNAcentral.